This 253-nucleotide ribosomal RNA is filed under the name uncultured bacterium. RNAcentral's name for it is "partial 16S ribosomal RNA". It matches the Rfam family "Bacterial small subunit ribosomal RNA", at positions 524 to 776 of the family's 1533-position model. The record is from RNAcentral.
UACGGAGGGUGCAAGCGUUGCUCGGAUUUAUUGGGCGUAAAGGGUAGGUAGGUGGUCUUAUUUGUCUGGGGUGAAAGCCUUGAGCUUAACUCAAGAAGUGCCCCAGAAACGGUGAGACUAGAGUUCUAGAGAGGGUCGUGGAAUUCCCGGUGUAGCGGUGAAAUGCGUAGAGAUCGGGAGGAACACCAGAGGCGAAGGCGGCGACCUGGAUAGAUACUGACACUCAACUACGAAAGCGUGGGGAGCAAACAGG